Molecule: ribosomal RNA, 494 nt
Filed under: uncultured bacterium
Lineage: Bacteria
Description: partial 16S ribosomal RNA
Rfam family: Bacterial small subunit ribosomal RNA
Source: RNAcentral
GACGAACGCUGGCGGCGUGCUUAACACAUGCAAGUCGAACGGUGAAGCGCCUUCCUUUUUGGUGGGUGUGGAUGAGUGGCGAACGGGUGAGUAACACGUGAGUAACCUGCCCCCUUCUUCUGGAUAACCGCAUGAAAGUGUGGCUAAUACGGGAUAUUCUGGGUCUGUCGCAUGAUGGGUCUGGGAAAGAUAUUGUUUCGGUGGGGGAUGGGCUCGCGGCCUAUCAGCUUGUUGGUGGGGUGAUGGCCUACCAAGGCGGUGACGGGUAGCCGGCCUGAGAGGGUGGACGGUCACACUGGGACUGAGACACGGCCCAGACUACUACGGGCGGCAGCAGUGGGGAAUAUUGCACAAUGGGAGCAAGCCUGAUGCAGCGACGCCGCGUGAGGGAUGGAGGCCUUCGGGUUGUGAACCUCUUUCGCCAGUGAAGCAGGCCUGCCUCGUUUGUGGGUGGGUUGACGGUAGCUGGAUAAGAAGCGCCGGCUAACUACGUG